UUCCGUAGGUGAACCUGCGGAAGGAUCAUUCACACGAAUCCAAAUCAAACCACCUAACCUCGUCCGGGGUCCGCGCCACCGUGUCCCUCCGAGGACCUGGCGCGGGUCCUAAAGGCACCUUCCGUUCUCCAGCGACGGGGUGCGGGGCCUGACACCCUCCGCACCCUUGGGGAGCCCUGGCUGGCGUCCAGCAGGGUAGGAUUGUGCCGUGUCGUCGAACCACGUAUCCAAACUGAGUCUAAUCUGAAAGCAUUAAACUUUCAGCGAUGGAUGCCUCGGCUUGAGCACUGAUGAAGGACGCAGCGAAAUGCGAUACGCAUUGUGAAUUGCAGAAUUCCGUGAGUCAAUAGGUAUCUGAACGCAUUCUGCGCUCUCGGGAUCUUCCCGUGAGUACAUCUGCUUCAGUGUUUCCGAACCCUCCUGCCAGCUGCAAUGCGUGGCUGUGCGUUUCUGUGCGCAAACGGGACUACCCGCUUGCGCAUUAAAAGCUUUAUGGACCGGGCGUCGCUCUCAGGUUGGUCACCUCGCGUGUCUUAAUUGAGAGCCGGUGCCUGCCGUCGUCAUGCAGCCAACCUCGGAACCGAACCUGAAGUCAGGUGGAGCUACCCGCUGAACUUAAGCAUAUCAAU
This 629-nucleotide ribosomal RNA is filed under the name uncultured eukaryote. RNAcentral's name for it is "eukaryotic LSU rRNA". The stretch from base 256 to 410 matches the Rfam family "5.8S ribosomal RNA". The record is from RNAcentral.